This 611-nucleotide ribosomal RNA is filed under the name Escherichia coli. Its description in RNAcentral is "partial 23S ribosomal RNA". It matches the Rfam family "Bacterial large subunit ribosomal RNA", at positions 1 to 642 of the family's 2925-position model. The record is from RNAcentral. Lineage: Bacteria; Pseudomonadati; Pseudomonadota; Gammaproteobacteria; Enterobacterales; Enterobacteriaceae.
GGGUUGUGAGGUUAAGCGACUAAGCGUACACGGUGGAUGCCCUGGCAGUCAGAGGCGAUGAAGGACGUGCUAAUCUGCGAUAAGCGUCGGUAAGGUGAUAUGAACCGUUAUAACCGGCGAUUUCCGAAUGGGGAAACCCAGUGUGUUUCGACACACUAUCAUUAACUGAAUCCAUAGGUUAAUGAGGCGAACCGGGGGAACUGAAACAUCUAAGUACCCCGAGGAAAAGAAAUCAACCGAGAUUCCCCCAGUAGCGGCGAGCGAACGGGGAGCAGCCCAGAGCCUGAAUCAGUGUGUGUGUUAGUGGAAGCGUCUGGAAAGGCGCGCGAUACAGGGUGACAGCCCCGUACACAAAAAUGCACAUAUUGUGAGCUCGAUGAGUAGGGCGGGACACGUGGUAUCCUGUCUGAAUAUGGGGGGACCAUCCUCCAAGGCUAAAUACUCCUGACUGACCGAUAGUGAACCAGUACCGUGAGGGAAAGGCGAAAAGAACCCCGGCGAGGGGAGUGAAAAAGAACCUGAAACCGUGUACGUACAAGCAGUGGGAGCACGCUUAGGCGUGUGACUGCGUACCUUUUGUAUAAUGGGUCAGCGACUUAUAUUCUGUAGCA